GUCCACCUGCAAGCACGAAGGAGCAUCCGUCAGGGAAGGGAGUCAGACCUUGGGGUCUGCAACUUUUGCUCUUCUACCUGCAGAAUUGCGGCUGCCAAGAUUGUGCUAUCUGGUAUUGUGAGGCACUUGCAAGAAGAUUCUGCCUCCCCUUUGCCGGCUGUGCAGAGCAGUUACUUAUUCAAAAUUGUGAACCACCCCUGGUACCUCUCACCUUGAUAAUGCCAACAAUCCCGGGCUCUUUACAGUUGCUGUGGUAGAAGAAGGCUUCCUGGCCAGCUUUCAUAUCCUUCAGGAAAUUCCGUGCCUGCCAAAACAGAAGAGCAGGGAUCAUCUUAUUCAUACCACCAGACAGAAGGGCUACAGAUAAUCCGUAUCUCCUUGCAGGUAAUUAGCACUAUAGCCACCAUGCCUCAUAUUUUGAAGGAGAGGAUGCGAGGCAAGCAGGGGACUCAAAGUUCAGUUCAGUUAUAUUAAACCAUGGAUUGUGCUAACCCUUGUUUAGAACUCGAUGCAGGGAGCCAAAACUCCCAGACAGGCAAACCAUAGUUUUAGAACUAUUUGAUCACUUUCCCUUUCCACAGGACCUCCUCAGCACCCUGGUCUCCAGGGAGCUGGCAAAGCAAGAGGUGGACUGUGAUCUGUCAGUUCAAACAUUGCACCAAACCAUAGUUAGAGCCAACAAUGGAUAACAAACCAUGGUUUCCGGUUCCGGUUUGCUAGCUGAUUAUAAACCAUUACUCGUCAAUCCAGAUGUCAUGCUAACCCAGAGAAGAGGUACUGUUUUCAGCCCAAGGGCCAUGUUCUCUUCUGGGAAACCUUCCAGGGGCCACAUGCCAGUGGAGGGGGGGGCCAGAGGCAAGAGUGGGCAGAGCAAAAAAAAGUGGAUUUUACCUUUCUUUGCUUGACUAGUUUAGACACAUUCACCUGUCCCAUCCAGGCAAGCACGGAACAUCAUCAGAGUUCAAAAACACAUCCCGGCCUAGGCUCAUUCUCAUCAAUGCUAGAAACUAUGGUUUGAAUUUGCAACUCAACUUGUCUUAAAUAUCAACAGCACAGGCAAAAAUAAAAGGUGGAAAUGGACAGCAGAACUUUAAGGUGCCAAAACAUAUCUGUGUUCUCCCACUGUAAGCUUUGAUUGGAAGGCAAGUUGAUUCGAAUCUACACAAUAUCACAUCCAUCCAGAAUAGCUAUUUGCUGCUCAGAACCCCCCUUUUUUGGGGGGUGAGAAUAAAUUUAUUGAUCAAUGCCGUUGCUACAGUUGACUUUACUUACCUGGUAAUUCCUGACUCCGUCCCAGCAUGCUGUCUGAUUGGGUUGAGCUUUUAAAUCUUCAAUGCCAAACUGGAUAAUAAAAUAAAAUAAACAUACAUUACCCAAAAUGCCUAAUUGUGCCUUUAAAAAAGAAAAG
This is a long non-coding RNA of Podarcis raffonei (Aeolian wall lizard), 1408 nucleotides long. RefSeq lists it as uncharacterized. NCBI's taxonomy places the organism in Eukaryota, Metazoa, Chordata, Lepidosauria, Squamata, Lacertidae. The transcript has 2 exons. The record is from RefSeq and is a predicted model, not a curated record.